RNAcentral lists this ribosomal RNA (519 nucleotides) under uncultured Glomus. RNAcentral describes it as "SSU rRNA". It matches the Rfam family "Eukaryotic small subunit ribosomal RNA", at positions 569 to 1092 of the family's 1831-position model. The record is from RNAcentral. Lineage: Eukaryota; Fungi; Glomeromycota; Glomeromycetes; Glomerales; Glomeraceae.
AGCAGCCGCGGUAAUUCCAGCUCCAAUAGCGUAUAUUAAAGUUGUUGCAGUUAAAAAGCUCGUAGUUGAAUUUCGGGGUUAGUAAGUUGGUCAUGCCUCCGGUAUGUACUGGCUUUACUGAUUCCUCCUUCUUGAUGAACUGUAACGUCAUUAAUUUGGUGUUGCAGGGAAUCAGGACUGUUACUUUGAAAAAUUAGAGUGUUUAAAGCAGGCAUACGCUUGAAUACAUUAGCAUGGAAUAAUGAAAUAGGACGUUUGAUCCUAUUUUGUUGGUUUCUAGGAUUGACGUAAUGAUUAAUAGGGAUAGUUGGGGGCAUUAGUAUUCAAUUGUCAGAGGUGAAAUUCUUGGAUUUAUUGAAGACUAACUACUGCGAAAGCAUUUGCCAAGGAUGUUUUCAUUAAUCAAGAACGAAAGUUAGGGGAUCGAAGACGAUCAGAUACCGUCGUAGUCUUAACCAUAAACUAUGCCGACUAGGGAUCGGAUGAUGUUAUUUUUAAUGACUCAUUCGGCGCCUUAAC